Molecule: ribosomal RNA, 497 nt
Filed under: uncultured bacterium
Lineage: Bacteria
Description: partial 16S ribosomal RNA
Rfam family: Bacterial small subunit ribosomal RNA
Source: RNAcentral
GAUGAACGCUGGCGGCGUGCCUAAUACAUGCAAGUCGAGCGAACGGACGAGAAGCUUGCUUUUCUGAUGUUAGCGGCGGACGGGUGAGUAACACGUGGAUAACCUACCUAUAAGACUGGGAUAACUUCGGGAAACCGGAGCUAAUACCGGAUAAUAUUUUGAACCGCAUGGUUCAAAAGUGAAAGACGGUCUUGCUGUCACUUAUAGAUGGAUCCGCGCUGCAUUGGCUAGUUGGUAAGGUAACGGCUUACCAAGGCAACGAUGCAUAGCCGACCUGAGAGGGUGAUCGGCCACACUGGAACUGAGACACGGUCCAGACUCCUACGGGAGGCAGCAGUAGGGAAUCUUCCGCAAUGGGCGAAAGCCUGACGGAGCAACGCCGCGUGAGUGAUGAAGGUCCUCGGAUCGUAAAACUCUGUUAUUAGGGAAGAACAUAUGUGUAAGUAACUGUGCACAUCUUGACGGUACCUAAUCAGAAAGCCACGGCUAACUACGUG